CAAAAACAAAACACACACAUGCUCCUCUCAAGAGUCACUGGCAUCCCAGCUGAAAAGUCAGCUCUACACCUGUGGGACCUAUGGGCCUGUUUCUGAGCUCUGUUCUGUCUCUUUGGUCCGAGUGUCUAUCUGAGGCCAAUACCACAGUACCAAAUGCGGUUGCUUUAGAGGAAGUCUUGAAAUCAGAUGAGGCUGAAGGCUGUUGAAUUAUGAGAAAGCGUCAUUUGAAGAGAUGGAUGCCUCUGACCCCGCCAGGCUCUGCAGACCUGAAGGUGGCUCCAGAUCUGGGGUGU
RNAcentral lists this long non-coding RNA (293 nucleotides) under Pan troglodytes (chimpanzee). RNAcentral describes it as "long non-coding RNA NONPTRT011228". Lineage: Eukaryota; Metazoa; Chordata; Mammalia; Primates; Hominidae. The record is from RNAcentral.